This 344-nucleotide long non-coding RNA is filed under the name Bos taurus (domestic cattle). Its description in RNAcentral is "long non-coding RNA NONBTAT023342". Lineage: Eukaryota; Metazoa; Chordata; Mammalia; Artiodactyla; Bovidae. The record is from RNAcentral.
CAGGAAAUGGUUUCUUUCUCAAAGAUCGAUGCUUGCAAGAGGCAGGAGAGUUUGCUUCACUGAAGCCAGCAUCUGAUUUUAAAAAGCAAGUUAAGGAUCCUUUCUCACUCUAUCAUUAAGGAUCCAGAGAGUUUUUAAUACCCAGCUAUGUCCUUGAAGGAUACGGGAGCUCAGGAAUUCCAGUAAGGUCUUAGAGAAUCUUAUCCUCGACUGAGGACUGCAGGAAACCAGCCGGAGGACGGAGGACGUCUAACUUGAGCUGGGAAUGCUAUUCUGGAAAGGGAGGAGGGAGCUAGAGCUUUCCCUCCUAGCUAAGAGACAUUCCAAACUUAACAUACUCAAAG